CUUCUGACGAGGUGCAUUUGUAGAAUGAGCUAGUAACUAAAGGUGAUUAUGUAGCGUUUAUUCAGCGUCGCUCUAGUUCGAGAGAGAGGGAGGAGAGAAGUUUGUGUCUUGCUCAGUGGUCCUGCCAGCGUUGUGUCUUCUGUCACGAGUGAUGGAGGUCACUGAGGACGACCCAGCUUACAUGAUCAAGCACACAUGGAGGGUCGUAAAGAGAAGACUAACAUCACAUGGCAGAGAGUUGCAACAGCACUUGACCCAAGGCUUCUGUGGAUGGUGGUUCUAUCUGAUGGUGGUGGUCCCUGCAGUGGUCCUGCUGUGCGCCUGGCUUACUACUCACAAUUACUUGAAUCAUUUCUGUCAUAGGAAUUGCAUGUAUUUUACAUUGUUCAUUCUGUACACAUGGCAUCCAUUGUAGUCUGUCCAUCCCGGGAGUGGGAUCCCUGCUCUGACGUUCUCCCUAUGGUUUCUUCCCUUUUUUUCCCUCUUGGAAGGAUUUUUUCAUUGUUUGGUGAGUUUUUCCUGUGGCGAUGGUGGGUUUCGGGACAGAGGAUGUCGUAUGUGUACAGAUUGUAAAGCCCUCUGAGACACAUUUGUAAUUUGCGAUUUUGGGCUAUACAAAAUAAAAUGAAUUGAAUUGAAUUGGAUGAGACCAUGUCCUGAAUGUAGACUGGACCCAAUCCUUUCACAGCAUGGUACGUGAACUGUAAAACCUUUUACUGUAAAGUUACAGUAACUUACUGGCAGUAGUUUCAGCUGUAAGAUACUGUCAAAUUUACAGUGACAGAGAAAUAAAGUCCGUUAUUGUAAUAGAAAUGUAAAAUGGUGUAAUUACAAAAAGGUACAACACAUUACUGUUAACAGUUUCACUUGUAAGAUGCUGUACAAUUUAACUUGUUGAUUCAAAAUGGCUUUCAGUGUCCGCUCGUUACCACAUAACAUUAACUGUGAGGCAUCUCUAAAAUUGAACAAAUAUGAAAAAUAAUAAUUUCCAACAACAGCCUAUUUACAACUUGUUUAUAAUUUCCAACAACAGCCUAUUUACAACUUGUUUAUUAGAAUAGUAUAAGUUUGAAAAAUAAUAUCCAAAUAACAAAUUCAAAUAUUCAAGCCAGAAUAACAUAUCCAAUCCAUUUUGACUUAUAUAAGUUGAGAAAUUAUGAAGAGAAUCAAAUAAAAAAUAUCCCAUAUAAAUACAAAAAGCAAUGUGAAUGAGUGAGACACAGACAUAGUUGGGUGGUCAGUGAGUGAAUGACUGAAAUAUGGAUAAGGAUUUGUGUGUGUGUGUUUGAGGGGGUUCUGAACUCUAUGGACUGAGUCAGGGUAGUCAUACAUAGUCACACUCAAAAUCCAUGAGCUUCCUUAAGAGGGUGUACACAUGGGGAUUCAGGAAUGUUGGUUAUUUGGACCAUUUUACCGCUCCUUUUGCUGUCCCCGUUCCUUAAUGUGCCUUUGUACCUCUCUCCGGGUUAAUUCCACGACAGCUUCUGGCAAAUAUAUGUGAGAAUGGUGCUAUAUUUAUUGAUUAAAAUGCUUACUUUCCCUAGGUUUGGUCACAUCUUGUGCAAAUAACAUUCAGGACACUACUAACAAUGUACUCCUCUAUCAGUACUUUCAAGUAAGCUAUCAAAUUAGCUCAACAAUUUGUCUAAGCUGUAAUACAAGUUGCCACACUUCCUUUUCAACUGGACUUUGAAUCUUGUCCCCUAUCAAGACUGGCAGAACCCUGAGUAGCAUUCAUUUCUGGACAGAAUGUCCAAUUAACUUCACAGGAUUAACAACAGACAGUAAUAACUUUGCUUUAUUUUACCUUAAACUUCAAGCUAAGUUCUUCAGGAAAAGUGGCCCAUCUGUGCUUUCUGGAAACACUUCUUUCUGGUCUCUUUCUAGGUCAUCAUAAACAUUGGAAGCCUCUGCUUCUUCAUGAGAGCACCCUGCUUGCUCAACAGUAUUCUCUCCAUUAACAUUUCCUCUAUCUGACGUUGUCGGGCUUAAAACAUUAUCAACUGCACGUUUAUGUGUUUAAGUCUGAUGAAAAUGGGGAUAUCACAGUAAAAACUUUACCACAGUUUUGGAAUGGACAUAAGACUGGUCUUCCCUCUUUAAUAUGAGUCUUCAAGUGAGAUAAACAAACUGUCACACUUUACGGUACAGCGCGGGGGGGGUUGUAAGUGGCAUAAGUGUGCUGCUCUCCACACAACCAAAGCCACUCUUUUCACUCCCGGCUCUCUCUCUCUCACUCACUCACUCUCACACGCACACGCAAGGAAACCAGAAAAUCAUAACAUUGUCCCACACAGCAGCUAACAGCGGGAUUUCUACAAUAUAAAACUCAUGGGGCCGCACUAACAUUAAACUUUCAUAUUAAGGUGGGGGCAACAAAAUAUCGUCCCGAGGGCCACAAUUGGCCAGCGGGCCGCGAGUUUGAGACCCCUGAUCUAACGUGAAUGUCCUGGUGCCGGCAAGGAAGGUUGCUUCCUUCAGUCUUGACUCCCUCUGACCUGGAUAAUCUCUAUAUAAUUGACAUUUUAAAGCCAAAUGAACAGCUGCAACAUUUUUGAGGAAUUGAAAGGGAUUGCAAAACUCAGCUCUGGCACCUCAUUAUUUAAGCUUACUUCAAAAUGAAUAUAUGUUACUUUCUUUAGAUUCUUAGCAGUACCCAGCCACACUUAGCUGUGGAUAAUGGAAGCAAGCGUUAUAACUCCCAGAAUGCCUCGCUUUUGCAGCAGUAUACUGUAAUCUCACAAUACAGUAGGUAACGGUUUAAAUUUCACUGUAAAUUUACAUUAAAGUCUUACAGUGUGAGUACCAAUGUUUUGAACUGGAUGCGGGCAGCCACUGAUAGCCGCAUGGUAGUUUGAACAGCCUAUUAACACUUAUGGUUAUGGGACUGCAAUUCAAUAGCCGAUUGUAGUUUUCAGAAAGACAGAAUUUAAAAGUGUGUAGCUACUUAGUGGACUUUCAACUUUUGUGGUCUUAAAAUGGUGUCUGCUUUUUGUAGAGGAAUUACUGAUAUAUAGCACCAGAUAAGGUUAGGAUUAGGCCUAAAGCUGGCAGUAUUUGUCAGUUAUUGAGCUCUUAAAAGAAGCCUGUGAGGAGCAUCUCAUGAUAUGGGUCAUUUAGUUCGGAAUCUACUAUAACCAAAGUUUGAAACAUUGAUAUAUUGGAUUUAUGUCAGGCAGUCUUAACCAGCUGAGUAUUCUGGAAAAAAACUGACCAGCUAAGCUGUAACCCAGCUUCUCUUUUCUUUCCAGUCAUUAAAUAGGCCUCCUGUUUCUUGGAGAGCUUGUCCACAAAUGUACAAACCAUCGUGUUCGGUCCUCAAUGAAAAAGGUGAAACUGCAAUGAAUGGUCCAAUAAAAAAGUAUUCUCAGCCCAAUCUAAGUACCACUCUGUAAUUCAUUCCUGCAUCAAUUUUACAACACCUAAUGUUUUUAUGAUGAGGUUCAACGGUGUGUACAAUGAAACCUUUUUUAAACAGUUGUCUCAGUUGGUGUUUGAAAAUUGCUGGAUAAUUUGCACCAUUACUGCAAGAUACAAAUAAAAAAUUCUUUAAAAAAAAAAUCCUUGACAGCAGAUGUGUGUAGAUUGAACCAAUGAGUCGGACAUAAGAU
Molecule: long non-coding RNA, 3611 nt
Organism: Gasterosteus aculeatus aculeatus (three-spined stickleback)
Lineage: Eukaryota; Metazoa; Chordata; Actinopteri; Perciformes; Gasterosteidae
Source: Ensembl